AGAGUUUGAUCCUGGCUCAGAACGAACGUUGGCGGCGUGGAUUAGGCAUGCAAGUCGAACGAAGACGGGGUAGCAAUACCUCGGACUGAGUGGCGAAAGGGGCAGUAAGGCGUGGGUAACCUACCCUGGGGACCGGGAUAGCCAUUCUAACGGAUGGGUAAUACUGGGCGACGUAGCGAGGGGGCAUCUCCUUGUUACCAAAUGAAUUUCGCCCUGGGAGGGGCUCACGUGGUAUUAGCUAGUUGGUGAGGUAACGGCUCACCAAGGCUCAGAUGCCUAGCAGGUGUGAGAGCACGACCUGCGCCACUGGCACUGAGACACUGGCCAGACUCCUACGGGAGGCUGCAGUCGAGAAUCUUCGGCAAUGGGCGAAAGCCUGACCGAGCGACGCCGCGUGUGCGAUGAAGGCCUUCGGGUUGUAAAGCACUGUCGAGGGGGAGGAAGCCGCAAGGUUGACCUAUCCCUGGAGGAAGCACGGGCUAAGUUCGUGCCAGCAGCCGCGGUAAGACGAACCGUGCGAACGUUGUUCGGAAUCACUGGGCUUAAAGGGCGCGUAGGCGGGUCAUCAAGUCGGGGGUGAAAUACUUCAGCUUAACUGGAGAAUAGCCUUCGAUACUGGUGGCCUAGAGGGAGGUAGGGGUCUGUGGAACUUCCGGUGGAGCGGUGAAAUGCGUUGAUAUCGGAAGGAACGCCGGUGGCGAAAGCGACGGACUGGACCU
Molecule: ribosomal RNA, 719 nt
Filed under: uncultured Planctomycetota bacterium
Lineage: Bacteria; Pseudomonadati; Planctomycetota
Description: bacterial SSU rRNA
Rfam family: Bacterial small subunit ribosomal RNA
Source: RNAcentral